This 673-nucleotide unclassified non-coding RNA is filed under the name Hevea brasiliensis (rubber tree). The record is from RNAcentral. Lineage: Eukaryota; Viridiplantae; Streptophyta; Magnoliopsida; Malpighiales; Euphorbiaceae.
GAGGAAAGAAAUUGUGAUGAAUUUACAAUUUUUCCCUAUUUUAAAAAGAACUUAAAUAAAAAGGAUAAUUUUGUAAUUUUAUUUUGUAUAGUUAAUUUUUUCUUCCAACUCUUCUUAUUUUCUCUCCAAUAGUCCAAUUUGGAGAGAAAAUGAUGAGGAAAAUGAGGGUCAUUUUACUUUCUCCCUUUAUUUUGCCCUCUUCCCAAACAAUGAAAAGGGCCAUUCUCUUAUUUUUUUUCAUCAAAUUAUAUUCCUUUCCCCUUAAUUUCCAAAUGUUCAAACAGUGGCUUAUUGGUGAGUGACUUGGGUGUAGGAUGGUGUUGUGCUCUAGUUUUGAAUCUGUCAAUAUAAUCAGGGUAGAAAUUCUUACUUGAGAUUUGGGACAGGCACAAAAAUGAAAUUCGUGAUGAAUAGAAAAAAAGUCCUAGAAUAUGAUUUUCUUCCCCCCUCCUACCAUAACUAAUAGGUCCAAUUCCAACAAUUUUGUGUCAAUCAAGCCAAUUUUAUCAUGAGGGAUUAUAAUAUUAUUGACUGGGCCUUUCUAAAUUUCAUUUGUGAAAUGAAAGGCUAUUGAACCAUGUCAAAGUGAGUGGUUAAGAUGUGGAUUUAGUCCUUUAAUUUUGCACUUCUGAUAAUGUUAAAGGUUGGAGGGACAACAAUAGGGCCAUUUAAC